Molecule: ribosomal RNA, 777 nt
Filed under: Cordyceps neopruinosa
Lineage: Eukaryota; Fungi; Ascomycota; Sordariomycetes; Hypocreales; Cordycipitaceae
Description: partial large subunit ribosomal RNA
Rfam family: Eukaryotic large subunit ribosomal RNA
Source: RNAcentral
UUUGAAAUCUGGCCCCCAGGGCCCGAGUUGUAAUUUGCAGAGGAUGCUUUGGGCGAGGUGCCUUCCGAGUUCCCUGGAACGGGACGCCAUAGAGGGUGAGAGCCCCGUCUGGUCGGACACCGAGCCUGUGUAAAGCUCCUUCGACGAGUCGAGUAGUUUGGGAAUGCUGCUCAAAAUGGGAGGUAUAUGUCUUCUAAAGCUAAAUAUUGGCCAGAGACCGAUAGCGCACAAGUAGAGUGAUCGAAAGAUGAAAAGCACUUUGAAAAGAGGGUUAAACAGUACGUGAAAUUGUUGAAAGGGAAGCGCCUAUGACCAGACUUGGGCCCGGUGAAUCAUCCAGCGUUCUCGCUGGUGCACUUUGCCGGGCACAGGCCAGCAUCAGUUUGGCGCGGGGGACAAAGGCUUCGGGAAUGUAGCUCCCUCGGGAGUGUUAUAGCCCGCUGCGCAAUGCCCUGCGCCGGACUGAGGUACGCGCAUCGCAAGGAUGCUGGCGUAAUGGUCAUCAGCGACCCGUCUUGAAACACGGACCAAGGAGUCGUCUUCGUAUGCGAGUGUUCGGGUGUCAAACCCCUACGCGUAAUGAAAGUGAACGCAGGUGAGAGCUUCGGCGCAUCAUCGACCGAUCCUGAUGUUCUCGGAUGGAUUUGAGUAAGAGCAUACGGGGCCGGACCCGAAAGAAGGUGAACUAUGCCUGUAUAGGGUGAAGCCAGAGGAAACUCUGGUGGAGGCUCGCAGCGGUUCUGACGUGCGAAUCGAUCGUCAAAUAUGGGCAUGGGG